GACGAACGCUGGCGGCGUGCUUAACACAUGCAAGUCGAACGGAAAGGCCCUGCUUUUGUGGGGUGCUCGAGUGGCGAACGGGGGAGUAACACGUGAGUAACCUGCCCUUGACUUUGGGAUAACUUCAGGAAACUGGGGCUAAUACCGGAUAGGAGCUCCUGCUGCAUGGUGGGGGUUGGAAAGUUUCGGCGGUUGGGGAUGGACUCGCGGCUUAUCAGCUUGUUGGUGGGGUAGUGGCUUACCAAGGCUUUGACGGGUAGCCGGCCCGAGAGGGUGACCGGCCACAUUGGGACUGAGAUACGGCCCAGACUCCUACGGGAGGCAGCAGUGGGGAAUAUUGCACAAUGGGCGGAAGCCUGAUGCAGCAACGCCGCGUGCGGGAUGACGGCCUUCGGGUUGUAAACCGCUUUCGCCUGUGACGAAGCGUGAGUGACGGUAAUGGGUAAAGAAGCACCGGCUAACUACGUG
RNAcentral lists this ribosomal RNA (468 nucleotides) under uncultured bacterium. RNAcentral's name for it is "partial 16S ribosomal RNA". It matches the Rfam family "Bacterial small subunit ribosomal RNA", at positions 28 to 507 of the family's 1533-position model. The record is from RNAcentral.